AUCAAGAAUUAGUUUGCCAGUUUGUCAGUCAAGUCAAGUUCGCCAGUCAAGUCAAGUUUGCAUGUCUGCCAGUCCGCAUCUGCUUGUUUGCAAACCCAUGUCGUAUACCGCCAUGAGUUUGACGGGGGGUGUUGGAAAAUAUUAGGAUUUUAGUUUAUUUGAAUAUUUGGUUUUCUGGGCUUAGCCCGUUAACAUUAGGGUUUCGGUUUCUUACCUUUUUAGGUUAGGGUUAGUUUAUUAUAAAUAGCAUGUUUGUUAUUCAGUUUAGAAUAAGCUAGUCACAAUGUAGCCUCUUAAGGUUUUGUAGCCGUUUCGGCAUUUUCGUUUAUUUAAUAACAUUCCUAUUAUUUUGUUAAUCUCGUUCGUUGCGCACUCUGAUAUUCAACUCAACAUUGGAUACCAUUAGUGGCACUAGGUCACGCUGCUACGAUAUAAGCAACCAAAUGUCCUAUUCUUCUUACUAGAAUUUAAUAUGAAGAUGACUAGGUAUCGGACCUUUUCCAUGGGUAGCACUUCUGAUAAAUUAUCAACUUCAGUCUACUUCUCGUUGGGCAUUGGGUAAAUGGAAUAUUCUCCAUUUCAGUAAGCUAGUUUGUUUUCUCAGUACUUAGUGCCAAUUCAUAGGUGUACCCAGGUAUGUAUAUUUGUUGUGCUUCCUAUGUUUAGACUUGAGAAGUGGUAGUUCUGUUUGUUGUAGUCAUUGUAGUUUCAUUAUUUAGUAGUACGAUGCUUAUCUUCAAAAGGCUGACGCUGAACUAUGGAAUUCGAUAGUUCGUAGAAAGAACCCUUUAAAACCUCUUUACAUUAUUAUCUUCUUAAUGUUGGAAUUUUUUUCAUAUUUUUUCUUAAUUCUUGUAUAUAAUCAUGGACAUUUAAAUCAAUGUUUGAUGGGGUUCCAUUUAGAUUGUGAGACUCAUACACUGUGUUCUAAAUAACGAGCAGCAGAUGCAAUUUGGUAUGAUGUGCCUAUGUAUGCAAUCCAUGUGCGUGCAUGUGGGCUCAAUAUCUAUAUGUCGUGAUCCCAUAUUUUGUUGUAUUAGUGUGUAUUCUCUCUAUAGAGCACAAUGAUGCUUGUUAGAUAUUUUCUGGUUGGUUUAUGAUCCGACUUGUGGACCAACUGACUUGACAAAACUCAAUGAGACUUUCAAAAGCAAUGACAUGUCUAAUUGUGCUUUUAUCAAUCAGUGAAUCUUUUCCAUGCCUUUAUGCUCUGCAAAGUAGUUACAAUCUGUUAGUUUUGUUCUGUACAUGCUUCGUCCACAACUCUUAAGUCCAAGUUGAAAUGGUUUAUUUCUUCCAGUAUCGUAAAUGAUCUGGAUGACUUAGUAACGGAGUUCAGAUUUCUGCUGCUGCCAUUCUCAAUAUUUUGAUUAUCAAUAUGGACUGAUAUGGCGGCUGUGUUUUGAAGUUAGGUAUAGUCAAUUUAAUGAACUAAUAUGAAGGCUAUAUUAUGGUAGGCACGGUGUUUUUCUCAAAAGGUGGUCCAGUUUUUUUGAGUGACUGCACAGUAAGCUCCAAAACCUACAGAAACAGUACCAUGAUAGCAUCAAGGAACUGUAAGCUCUUUGAUGCUGUUGUGGUAGAGUUUCUGUAGGUUUGGAUACCAGAGUUUCCAUAUAUGAAAUGUUUUAUUGGUUACCAAGCAUCUAGGUGUAGAAGCAUGUUCCUGUUGAAAUAGCAUCCUUUGUUAAUUUGUGCGUAUUUUGUGUGGGGUUUGAGGGUUUAGGUUGUUUAUUUAGUAUUUAUAUUCAAAUUAGUAGUAAAGGAUCUUGUUUCUCAUAUGGGCUAUAUAUUUGUUGCAGAUACACGUCGAACGGACAGCGCCAAGAGUGAAGAGGUAGUGUUUUAAGUUGAAAACAAUUAAGUUUAGGUUGGUUUGUUAAAGGAUAAAGAGAGAAGGGUGGGAAGCACAGGAGUAGAACCUUGCAAUGUUGAUUGCAUUGAUGAAACUCGUGUUAAAUCAUGGUGGUCUGAUUUGGUUAUUUGUAAUCAAGUCUAGACUGUGGUUUAUAACUUGAUAUUACCCUAUGUACUUGGGUCUAAUUAUUUUUUAAGAUAUACUUGUUAGCCUUAUAAGGUUAUACAAUUAAAACACAAUCGAAUGAGUGAUUAACCUAAUUCCAACGGUGGCCAUGGAAGUUGAACACGAAAACAGGUAGGGCACGGCAACACCAAGAUCUUCUACAAACUCCUAGCCGAAUACAACUACUCUAUGAGAAGCAUUAUGUUGUGUGUUCUAGGGCUUAUAAGGACCGGUGUUUUAUAUAAGCUAAAAGUUAGGGUUUCCAUCCAUAAAGGAAACCUAAACUUACUUUCUUAGCCUCCAAGUCAAGUAUCAUAAUCAUAUUAAAUUAAGGAUUCCAUCAAUCCUAUUUCCAAUAUAAGACACCUAUAUAGGAUUGAUAUCUUUAAGAGAUCAAAUCACAAUCAACAUUAUUCUCCAAUAUUACAUUCCUAUUACAUGUAGUAGACCACAUAAAGGUUGAUUUAUAUUGGAUAAAUCCAACAUUCUCCCACUUGGUCUACAAAAUGUAAUAUUCAUGUUUACACUUGAGAUUGGAGACUAAUGUCACUUUAGUGGCCAUGUAACAGUGAUUACAUUUCGUCCUUAAUGCAAUUUCGGUCAAAUGCAUUUCUUAACAUAGAACUAACAAGGUUGUAGGAUUGACACAACCCAGAACCUUCAUAAUCACACAUGCUAAGAUCCGCAUUCACAUGAAACACAAAUUAUGAUCAAAAGAUGAAACUUUAAAUUAACCAAAAUGUCUUACUUUAUAUCAUCUCAGGUCCACCUUAUUGUAACAAACAAGUUACACUUUAUGCUUCUUCAAAGCCUUAAAUCUGCUAAUACAGAUAUCCUUCAUAUCUAAUAAAACCACAUUAACCUGCAGGUGUGAUUACAUCUCCAAAACAAUCAUACAUCACUUUCAUUAGAUCAGUAACAAUACAAACAAUGUUGGUAGCCAACGAACACAACUGAAAAUACCAAAUAGGCACAUGUCCAAGUAAAAUAUCCAAAAAACUUCAUAAAACAAAUUAAUUCAACACUUGAGAGCAAGAUGAAUUAACAUGUUUUGACACUGAUCUAUGCACCAUACCAGUUACUUUCAUAGUGAUUUCCAACACAUGUGGGCAAUAUGGAAAUCCUCACAACUGGGGCAAUGCACAAACCAUGCCAUGCCAUUUAAUAUGCAAUUUGAUAACAACUUGAUAUCUAAUAUAUAUUUCAUCAGAUAAGUGACUAGCACACAAAAAAUGUGACUUAAUGAAUCCAAUUGGAGAUUAAAAUGAAUAUAUGGAUUCUAUACAUACCUUAGAGGUCAUCUGCAAUUGUAAGGCAUUACUAACACGAAACUAAAACUCCCACUGAUCUGCAACAUCAUCACUUAAUUUGCAAAUCAAUACUUAAAUCAUAUUUUUGAAAAUAUGCCUUUGGGAAUAGCCUUACUCAAUCAAUGAAUGCAUAUUACCUCAAUGAAAGCAUUCACUGAUGUUCCACAAAAAACAUGCAUCCAACAACCAUCUUAUAUGUAUUAAUAAGUCCACAUUUGUGCUAAGUGCUUAUGAGCCCCAAAAUAAAUGAUUAACCGAGAAAUCCAAAUGAUUGCAAGUAACAGAAAAAUGUACGCAUAUACCAAGUAUCCAUUUGUGCAACUUAAACAUAUUAUAGACAUUUGAGUAACACAAAUUAAUGGAAGAUAGAAUAAUGCUUUAAUAGACUCAUGCAAGUCCACUUAGUGCUCAAAAUUUUAGAACAACUCCUACUAAGUUUUCAGAGUUUACACUUGCAAAUAAGUUAAUGAGUGUGAAGCCCAAAUUUCGCUCACUAAUUCUCCCACUUAGGAAAAUACUCGUUAAUAUAUUCUUUCAAAAAUGUACCUAGAGAAAAUUUCUUUAUAUUUUAGACAUAAUAAAAUAGACAUCACAACCAACAUAAAGUUGUCAAACAGAAUUUCAGAAAUGAGUUACACUUACUUUAGAAUUUAUCAUAAUUAAUUUACACGCUUGAUUGCUACCAAAUUUAUACUGAUCAAAAUAGACAUACUAAUCUUCAAAAAAUACAAAUGCAGAGCCGUUUUGGGUCAAAAUAGUAGUCCAAAGUCACGUCUCAAAAAGACCAACACAAUCUGCCUGUAAAAAAUGUCUACACGAGCAUGGGUUACUAGUAAAUUCACCAUAAUUAAAAUCGACGGCACAAAAUUGCGAAAAUUUGCAGACACAUAUUAGACAUCUAUAAGUUAAACAUAUCCAAAAUUCAGGUCAUUUGGUGACCAUUAGAUGUGGCAUUCACCCGAUUUAAAUCAAGACACGCAAUCUGCAGAAACAAUUAUGUGCAUCUACCAUGAAUUUAUGCAUCCAUAACAAAUUCAAUUUCAUAUCAUUUCAAUUUCAAUGUCCAAAGGAAACUUUAGUAGUCAAAUUUCAUCAUCUAAAUUGACAUCAUAGUUCAAAUUGAAAAGAUUUACAAGCAUAAGAUUUAAACAAUGUGUACCUUAGCAAUCCUUGAUUAACCUUCAUGGGUCUAAUACUUUGCAUCAACAAGUCUCAUGAAGAGACACAAAAAUACGUCAUGAUGCAACCAAUUUUCAUGCCUUCAAACCACAACCUUUUAUGGGGCUCAUUGUGGAAAUAUUUGUAACUAAUGGCAUAAAACUUUAUCCCAAUAAACUUCAUGAAACUAAAUUAAUUUUCACCUGUAGGCAAGAAAAUUAACUAGUUUCUAGUACUAGAAUGGACAAUUAUCAGACAACAUGCAUGGUGUCACUCCCUGACUGCAUGCUAUUGAUUUUGGAUUUUGGAUGUCAAAGCAUGCAUUCACAUGAGUGUACCGAAUGUGCUCAUGCAUUCCUUGUUAAUCAUAAGAGGAUUACGUAGAAUGGUAGAAAAACACGUCCUUAACUCGUGCAUAACAUGUGAACACUUAUGUCACUAGGAGAAGUAUUGUUUACAUACAAUGCUUUUCUCUCGUAUAAAUGGUUAUGUUAUUUGAUGACAGCACAAUGAUAGGAUGUUUGUUAGAGCAGUUCCACUAGAGGUGGAAUUGACACACCCCGGCCGAGAUCAAGGCAUGUUGGCCAUCACGUGAGAGUGACGUAGCCAUGUGCACAGUGCGGAAGCAAUAAUGAUAGAAAAUAUAAGAACAAUUAAAAACCGAAAUACUAGAGUGCACUACU
RNAcentral lists this long non-coding RNA (5174 nucleotides) under Malus domestica (apple). RNAcentral's name for it is "long non-coding RNA (MDOM_LNC004210)". The record is from RNAcentral. Lineage: Eukaryota; Viridiplantae; Streptophyta; Magnoliopsida; Rosales; Rosaceae.